ACAAGAAGUCUUGGGCAACAUGCUGGCAACAUCAUGGGAUCUAAAUCUGAAUAGUCUGAGCAGCCUCCAAUGACUCUUCCCACUACUUACACCAUUACUGACGCCCGAUGCUUCACCAGAACUUACUGCCGGGAUCAUGGGCGAUGGAAUCCGCCGAUUCUGCCUUUCCCUUAAAUCACUAAGCUCCAUUUUGCUUGGAAUCCUAGCCAAUCCAAUCAUAACCUUGUGCUUCCUGGAAUUAGCAGACGGGCAACGAAAAGUACCACUCUUUGAAGAAUGCUUGGAGGAUGAAUUUGAAGCCCUGUUUUUUGUUAGCAAUGACGAGGUUGAUGAUUUGAAAGGUGGGUUUCUUUGAUCGUCUUCUGUUCUGCAGGAAAUGACUUUCCCACAGAAGAUGAUAUUAUCAUCAACCGUAGAGUUUGUUUCUGAGGUGGAGAUAAAUUCAAAGAAGUCUUGGCUUGAAGGGGAGCUUGGAAUCUCAUUGCUGGGUUCAGUUUCAUGGUCACAGAGAUCAGAAAGGUCACAUAACGAGAGAGCAUCUUCAAAUUCUUCAAUGGUGUUUUCCAUUUCUGUGUAUGUUAAAA
Molecule: unclassified non-coding RNA, 584 nt
Filed under: Hevea brasiliensis (rubber tree)
Lineage: Eukaryota; Viridiplantae; Streptophyta; Magnoliopsida; Malpighiales; Euphorbiaceae
Source: RNAcentral